GCAACAAGGUGGAGCUCAAGAUACCAAUUCGCUUUUACCCUGUGGUAUUCCCUCAUGAAAAAUGAACCAAGUCGUUUUGGAUUUAGAGCAAACUCAAACAACGAAGCCUGAUGAAACGAAGAAUCGCCUAUUAGCUGUUAUUUUUGAGGAAUGAUAAGUCACUCUCGCAGUCCAUACACCAAUGCGUGUUAUCCUUUGUCAUUGACACAUGGCAGUUUGCACGGUGACGCCCUGUUCAGACAGCUUCGUGAAGUGUUUCUCAGCACUUAAAAGAACGGGAGAGACGAUUUCAAGGAAUAAAGAGCAUUUUACAAGUCCGAUUUAUUUGGAUCUUCUCAUGGAUCCAGUAACUAUUCUCUGGACACAAUUACUGUAUAUACUGUAUUAAAAGGCUGCUGGGAUCAUGAAGAUCAGAAGGGAGUCUACAGCUGUCCCCAGUGCAGACAGGCAUUCUCUCCAAGACCCGUUUUAAACAAAAACAGUGUUUUUGCUGAGCUUGUGGAACAGAUCAAGAACACCAGAAUGCAAGCCUCUGCUCCUAUUCCAUGUAGUGCUGGGCCUGGACAUGUGGAGUGUGACGUCUGCACUGGGAGAAAACUCAAAGCUGUGAAGUCCUGUCUGGAAUGUCGGGUAUCAUACUGUGAAACUCACUACAAAGCUCACAAUGAACUUAAUUCUGGGCGAAAACACAAGGGGACUGAUGACACAGGCCAGCUACAGACACACUUGGGGGAGACCAAGAGUAAAAUCCAUCAGAUAAUCCGAGAGAGAGAGAAUGAACUGCAGGAGCUGAGGAAGGCUGUGGAGACUCUCGAGAGCUCUGCACAGACAGCAGUGGAGGAC
Clupea harengus (Atlantic herring) is the source of this 843-nucleotide RNA transcript. RefSeq lists it as uncharacterized. NCBI's taxonomy places the organism in Eukaryota, Metazoa, Chordata, Actinopteri, Clupeiformes, Clupeidae. The record is from RefSeq and is a predicted model, not a curated record.